Small nuclear RNA from Cornus florida, 197 nucleotides. RefSeq annotates it as U2 spliceosomal RNA. NCBI's taxonomy places the organism in Eukaryota, Viridiplantae, Streptophyta, Magnoliopsida, Cornales, Cornaceae. The transcript has a single exon. The record is from RefSeq and is a predicted model, not a curated record.
AUACUUUUCUCGGCCUUUUGCCUAAGAUCGAGUGUAGUAUUUGUUCUUAUUAGUUUAAUAUCUGAUAUGUGGACCAAUGGUUCACCUGGUAUUAAAUUUAUUUUUUUAGGGGGAAGGCCCACUACAGUAGCUUGUUAUUUAGGGCCUUUAAGCGUUGCCCGUGCCCUGCACUAUAGCAAGGGCCUGACGCACCCUAC